GUACUUCUCUAUGACUUUCAGUCAAGUGAGAAAAAUGCGUCAAGGAACCUACCCCGACAGCUUGGCCUGCUCUCUCAGAUUUUAGAAAUGUGAGGGAGGGUCCCUGACACACACCUGGAAAAGUCUAUAGUCUCUCAGAACCCAGCCACCAUCUUGUGAGGAAGCUUCCCACGUGGAGAGGGCCUAAGGACUUCUGACAGCAGCCAAAACCGACUUACCAGCUCUGUGAGCGAACCACCUUGGAAGUCUGUCCUCCAGACCAAGUGAAGCCUUCAGAUGACUGUAGUCACACCUAACAUCUGACUAUGACCUCACGAGGGACCCCUAACCAGAACCACUCGGCUAAACUACUGCCGGAUUCACAACCCACAGAAACCAUGAAAGACAUAAAUGGUCAUUGCCAUCUUAACCCGCUAAGUUUUGCAGUGAUUUUUUUUAUGCAGCUUUAGAGAACAAAGGAGAGGAGUGCAACAGAAAGGGGCCAUCCCAGAACCCUCAAAGGUGUGGGGCCUAGGACAGGGCCUCUUUUGCCUGGAUUUAGGGCCGUACUGAGGAAAGGAUAUGGAUUUUAUUUCAGUAGCUGGGUAUUUCCUAGGGAGGGAUGAGCUUAUUUAUACAAAAGAGGAACUUGCAGGACUGAGCAGGUGUUGGAGAUCAGGAAAUUUUUUUAUAAAAGCUGUAACAAAGCAGCCCUUUAUCUGGAGUAUACAAAGAAAUGAAAAUCUAAUGAGACCAUUUAUUUGCUUGAUUGUGUAAACACACAAAAAUGUACACAUCUUGGAAUAGUCACAGCGGAAGGAGAUCUGCUUAAGCCAGUGAUGCCGUCUGUCACUUUUCAAAAAUGCCUGUGAAACUUCUCUUUCGGAAUUGCCCACAAAGCUGGAUUAUGAGCUUCCCAUGAAACCAGACUCAUCACUCAAGCUGCGACUUGGUUUGUGACCCCAGACAGCAUUUCCCAGCUUGAUCACCCAACCUACUCAGCAGACUUUGCUCUGAAUGACUUAGAACUGUUUCCAAAACUCACACCCGCCCUUGGAGGAUACAUGCUGUCAGACUUAUCUUUCUGCCACACCUCGGAUCAUGCGCUUCAGUGCCUCUCGGCUGCAUAGAGAAUUAAGCUCCAACAUGUCAGCUAGAUUUUCAGAACUUUAUACAACAUGCAGCCCCCACCUAGCUUUGCAGUUCUAUCAUCCCAGAACACACGAUGCCCUCUCUACUUACUGAUGAUAGGUACCAUUUACUGAGCCCUUAUUAUGUGCCCCACACUGUGCUAAGAGCUUAAUAUAAUCUCUCAUUUUGUCCUUAUAUGACUUUGUAAGAUAAAUGUUAUCUCUAUAGUAUAAAUAAUAAUAAAACAGGGGUCACUAACACUUUGUACAGCAGUUACAAUGUGCUAAACCACCGUCCAAUAGAAAUAUGAGCCAUAUUUGUCAUUUUAAUUUUCUAAUUGCCACACUAAAAAAGUAAAAACUAGGUGAAAUUGAUUUUAAUAAAGUAUUUUAUCAAUGAGCAUUUAAUCAAUAUAAAAACUUUUUAAUGAUAUAUAUCAUAUUCUUUUUUUGUGUGUAUUAAAUCUUUGAAAUCCAUUGUGUAUUUUACACCUACAGCACGUCUCAAUUUGGACACUAAAUUUUUAUUGGAAAUACUUGAUCUAUAUUUAAAUAUUGUAAAAAGUACAGUGAAAAAAGUAGAUUCACAUACCCAAGUUGUUCCAAACAUGCUUAAAAGAUUUCCAAUACCUGAAUCAAGUACCAAAUAAUCAUUUUUUUCUAUGCUUAUCCCUAUUGACAAAACUGAUUCAAUUUUAAACUUUUAACUUCACUUUCAAUCAAUUAAAAUUAAAUAAAAUUAAAAAUUUAGUUUCUCAGUUGCACUAGCCACUUACCAAGUGCUCAUGUGGUUAGUGGCUGCCAUGUUGGGCAAUGCAACUCUAGGCACUUUACUACUGUCAACACAAACGUUUGAGGUAGCUUCAUUUUACAGAUAAAGAAAUAGAGGCAUAGAGAAGUAGUAACUUGCACUAGUAUACACAGUUAAUAAGCCGAUGUUCAGAAUGGUUGAUUUACCUUAGCUAGUAAAGGUUGGAAACAGGAUUUGAACUCAGGAUUGUUUGUGUCCAAAGUCUAAAUUCUUAUCCACUGUGCUAGUCUGCUCUACAGACUUAAUUUCUCACUAUUCUCCUAAAAUCCUUACUUUCUUGAUUCUGGUCUUUUUAUCAGAUUGUUUCCUCUGUCUAGAAUGCCAUGGAAGGCCCAUUUUGAAUGUUAUUCAUUCAUUCAGACAGUCAUUCAGUCAAUCACUUUUUCAACAAAUAUUGCCAGCCGUGUUUCAAAUAUCUCCCACGUAAAAUACAGCCGUGAUCAAGACAGACGUCCCCCCUGCCCGCACAGAGCUUCAAUUCUGCCGUAACGCUUCUCACACUUCGGUCUCAGGAUUCUGUAACACUCUGAACGUUAUUGAGGACCCGAAGGGCUUUUGAUUAUGUGAGUUAUAGCUGCCAAUCUUUAUUGUACUAGAAAUUAAAACUAGGAAAUUGUAAAAAUAUUCAUUCAUUCAAAAAUAACAUGAUGAACACAUUACAUGUAAACAUAAAUAAUGUAUAGCUGAAAAGACAACUAUAUUUUCCAGAACAAAAAAUAAGAGUAGCAUUGUUUUAUAAUUUUGCUAAUCUCUUUAAUGUGUGACCUAAUAAAAGGCAGCUGGGUUCUCA
Equus asinus (donkey) is the source of this 2710-nucleotide long non-coding RNA. Lineage: Eukaryota; Metazoa; Chordata; Mammalia; Perissodactyla; Equidae. The record is from Ensembl.